Molecule: non-coding RNA, 62 nt
Filed under: unclassified sequences
Description: DUF3085 RNA
Rfam family: DUF3085 RNA
Source: RNAcentral
UGGCAGCUGGAUCCAGCCAGGCGGUGUAUCGCCAAACCCAGCCAAUCAAUCUACCCACCGGG